AGAAAAUGGUGGACGCUUGUCGUUCUCGUUAGUCACUUUUGAUUUUUAUUGUGUUAAAAUCAGUGCGGGAGUGAAAAAUAUUCGAUUGCUUGUGAAAAAAAUUCAUGUGUAAAAAUUGUAGUUUUUUUCUCUAUAAAUUGGUGAAAUUCAAAGUAAAAUUAUUAAUAAAUUAAAGUGCAUUGAAUCGAAUAUUUUAUUUCGAGUGAAUUGUGAUAUUGUGAAUUUGUGACAAGAAAAUAACCCAAGGAUUACAAGACCAAGAUGUCCAAUUUAUAUCAACAGUUUACCGUAAGAGGAACAACAAAUGUUUCGUCGUGCGCUGAGGAUAAAAAUGACUCCCUGGGAAUUCAAACAAAGUGAGUAGGCACUAAAUAUAUUUGUAACUUAAUUUUUAAAAUUAAGUUGCACCAGGUAAAAUUUGUGACUAAACUUUCGGUAUAUAAAAUUAUAUCUAUGUGCUUCUUUAUAUAAACUUUCUGCACAUUAAAUUAAUUUGCAACUUUUUGAACUUUUUUGUACGUUAAAUACAGCUUUAAUUUUU
Long non-coding RNA from Leptopilina heterotoma, 541 nucleotides. RefSeq lists it as uncharacterized. The record is from RefSeq and is a predicted model, not a curated record. The transcript is spliced from 3 exons. Lineage: Eukaryota; Metazoa; Arthropoda; Insecta; Hymenoptera; Figitidae.